RNAcentral lists this ribosomal RNA (864 nucleotides) under uncultured bacterium. RNAcentral's name for it is "bacterial SSU rRNA". It matches the Rfam family "Bacterial small subunit ribosomal RNA", at positions 8 to 866 of the family's 1533-position model. The record is from RNAcentral.
AGAGUUUGAUCCUGGCUCAGAUUGAACGCUGGCGGCAGGCCUAACACAUGCAAGUCGAACGGUAACAGGAAACAGCUUGCUGUUUCGCUGACGAGUGGCGGACGGGUGAGUAAUGUCUGGGAAACUGCCUGAUGGAGGGGGAUAACUACUGGAAACGGUAGCUAAUACCGCAUAACGUCGCAAGACCAAAGAGGGGGACCCUCGGGCCUCUUGCCAUCGGAUGUGCCCAGAUGGGAUUAGCUUGUUGGUGGGGUAACGGCUCACCAAGGCGACGAUCCCUAGCUGGUCUGAGAGGAUGACCAGCCACACUGGAACUGAGACACGGUCCAGACUCCUACGGGAGGCAGCAGUGGGGAAUAUUGCACAAUGGGCGCAAGCCUGAUGCAGCCAUGCCGCGUGUAUGAAGAAGGCCUUCGGGUUGUAAAGUACUUUCAGCGGGGAGGAAGGGAGUAAAGUUAAUACCUUUGCUCAUUGACGUUACCCGCAGAAGAAGCACCGGCUAACUCCGUGCCAGCAGCCGCGGUAAUACGGAGGGUGCAAGCGUUAAUCGGAAUUACUGGGCGUAAAGCGCACGCAGGCGGUUUGUUAAGUCAGAUGUGAAAUCCCCGGGCUCAACCUGGGAACUGCAUCUGAUACUGGCAAGCUUGAGUCUCGUAGAGGGGGGUAGAAUUCCAGGUGUAGCGGUGAAAUGCGUAGAGAUCUGGAGGAAUACCGGUGGCGAAGCGGCCCCCUGGACGAAGACUGACGCUCAGUGCGAAAGCGUGGGGAGCAGACAGGAUUAGAUACCCUGGUAGUCCACGCCGUAAACGAUGUCGACUUGGAGUUGUGCCCUUGAGGCGUGGCUUNNNAGCUAACGCGUAAGUC